CCUACGGGAGGCAGCAGUGGGGAAUAUUGCACAAUGGGCGAAAGCCUGAUGCAGCAACGCCGCGUGAAUGAAGACGGUUUUCGGAUUGUAAACUUCUAUCCAUAGGGAAGAAAGAAAUGACGGUACCUAAAUAAGAAGCCCAGGCUAACUACGUGCCAGCAGCCGCGGUAAUACGUAGGGGGCAAGCGUUAUCCGGAAUUACUGGGUGUAAAGGGAGAGUAGGCGGCAAGGUAAGCGAGAUGUGAAAGCCUUAAGCUUAACUUCAGGAUUGCAUAAGGAACUAUCUAGCUAGAGUACAGUAGAGGAGAGUGGAAUUCCUGGUGUAGCGGUGAAAUGCGUAGAUAUUAGGAAGAACACCAGUGGCGAAGGCGGCUUUCUGGACUGAAACUGACGCUGAGGCUCGAAAGCGUGGGGAGCGAACAGGAUUAGAUACCCCUGUAGUC
Molecule: ribosomal RNA, 443 nt
Filed under: uncultured bacterium
Lineage: Bacteria
Description: partial 16S ribosomal RNA
Rfam family: Bacterial small subunit ribosomal RNA
Source: RNAcentral